Molecule: non-coding RNA, 134 nt
Organism: Triticum aestivum (bread wheat)
Lineage: Eukaryota; Viridiplantae; Streptophyta; Magnoliopsida; Poales; Poaceae
Source: Rfam
CAACUACUCGCCCUGUCCCAAAUUUCUUGUCUUAGAUUUUUCUAGAUACGGAUGUAUCUAAUACUAAAAUGUGACUUGAUACAUCCGUAUCUAGAUAAAUCUAAGACAAGAAUUUUGGACAGAUGGAGUACUUU